Molecule: non-coding RNA, 119 nt
Organism: Pteropus alecto (black flying fox)
Lineage: Eukaryota; Metazoa; Chordata; Mammalia; Chiroptera; Pteropodidae
Source: Rfam
AUCUAUGGCCAUGCCAGCCUGAACGCACCCGAUCCCAUCUGAUCUCAGAAGCUAAGCAGGGUCGGGCCUGGUUAGUACUUGGAUGGGAGACCACCUGGGAAUAUCGGGUGCUGUAGGCC